GCGGCGAGCAUACGUGCUGUCUCUCUUAACUACCCGAGAUAGACGCUCACACCUCAGCCUAGAAUUCACGUCGUCCGAGAGAUAGUGCCAACUUAACUAAGAAUUGACGGAGGCCCCGCAGGAGUGACCUCGCUUAUUUGCUCACCCGGGAAACUUCCAGGUCCAACAUAGUAGGAUUACAAUUAUACUUUUCUUAUUCUAGGGGUGGGCCUGCCGUUUAGUGGUGGAGGGAUUGUUUGGUAAAUCCGAUACGAAACGAGACCUUAACUGCUAACUAGAUUGAUCAUCUUAUGGUCGUUAUCUUCUAGAGGGACUAUGUAACAUAAAUACCAUGGAAGUUUAGGCCAAGACCGGGUCAGUGAUGCCCUUAUAUGUAAUGGGCUGCACGCGUGCUACACUGAAGUGGGGGGGGGGAAACAUAGCCAGACAUGGCAUGGCAAUCUCGAAUAUGCAUCGUGAUGGGGAUAGAUCUUUGCAAUUAUAGAUCUUGAACGAGGAAUUCCUAGUAAGUGCAAGUCAUCAUCUUGCAUUGAUUAUGUCCCUGCCCUUUGUACACACCGCCCGUCAGCUCCUACCGAUACCGGGUGAUCCGGUGAACCUUGGAGAGCAAGGGAAAUAAGAAUUGAUGUCACUUAUUCUUUUUUUUGACCAGUAAUUAG
RNAcentral lists this ribosomal RNA (659 nucleotides) under uncultured rumen protozoa. Its description in RNAcentral is "bacterial SSU rRNA". It matches the Rfam family "Eukaryotic small subunit ribosomal RNA", at positions 1044 to 1756 of the family's 1831-position model. The record is from RNAcentral.